This 511-nucleotide ribosomal RNA is filed under the name uncultured bacterium. RNAcentral describes it as "bacterial SSU rRNA". It matches the Rfam family "Bacterial small subunit ribosomal RNA", at positions 28 to 531 of the family's 1533-position model. The record is from RNAcentral.
GACGAACGCUGGCGGCGUGCUUAACACAUGCAAGUCGAGGGGCAGCAUAGGGUAGCAAUACUCUGAUGGCGACCGGCAAACGGGUGAGUAACGCGUAUGCAACCUACCCUGUACAGGGGGAUAACCCGGAGAAAUUCGGACUAAUAUCCCGUAAUAAUAUCCGGAGGCAUCUUUGGAUAUUUAAAGUUCCGACGGUACGGGAUGGGCAUGCGUAACAUUAACUGGUUGGUAAGGUAACGGCUUACCAAGGCUAUGAUGUUUAGGGGUCCUGAGAGGGUGGUCCCCCACACUGGUACUGAGACACGGACCAGACUCCUACGGGAGGCAGCAGUGAGGAAUAUUGGUCAAUGGGCGCAAGCCUGAACCAGCCAUCCCGCGUGCAGGAAGACGGCCCUAUGGGUUGUAAACUGCUUUUCCAGGGAGAGAAACUUACGCACGUGUUGCGUGACUGACGGUACCCUGGGAAUAAGCAUCGGCUAACUCCGUGCCAGCAGCCGCGGUAAAACGUCUA